AGAGUUUGAUCCUGGCUCAGAUUGAACGCUGGCGGCAGGCCUAACACAUGCAAGUCGAACGGUAACAGGAAACAGCUUGCUGUUUCGCUGACGAGUGGCGGACGGGUGAGUAAUGUCUGGGAAACUGCCUGAUGGAGGGGGAUAACUACUGGAAACGGUAGCUAAUACCGCAUAACGUCGCAAGACCAAAGAGGGGGACCUUCGGGCCUCUUGCCAUCAGAUGUGCCCAGAUGGGAUUAGCUAGUAGGUGGGGUAACGGCUCACCUAGGCGACGAUCCCUAGCUGGUCUGAGAGGAUGACCAGCCACACUGGAACUGAGACACGGUCCAGACUCCUACGGGAGGCAGCAGUGGGGAAUAUUGCACAAUGGGCGCAAGCCUGAUGCAGCCAUGCCGCGUGUAUGAAGAAGGCCUUCGGGUUGUAAAGUACUUUCAGCGGGGAGGAAGGGAGUAAAGUUAAUACCUUUGCUCAUUGACGUUACCCGCAGAAGAAGCACCGGCUAACUCCGUGCCAGCAGCCGCGGUAAUACGGAGGGUGCAAGCGUUAAUCGGAAUUACUGGGCGUAAAGCGCACGCAGGCGGUUUGUUAAGUCAGAUGUGAAAUCCCCGGGCUCAACCUGGGAACUGCAUCUGAUACUGGCAAGCUUGAGUCUCGUAGAGGGGGGUAGAAUUCCAGGUGUAGCGGUGAAAUGCGUAGAGAUCUGGAGGAAUACCGGUGGCGAAGGCGGCCCCCUGGACGAAGACUGACGCUCAGGUGCGAAAGCGUGGGAGCAAACAGGAUUAGAUACCCUGGUAGUCCACGCCGUAACGAUGUCGACUUGGAGGUUGUGCCCUUGAGCGUGGCUUCCGGAGCUAACG
This 857-nucleotide ribosomal RNA is filed under the name uncultured bacterium. Its description in RNAcentral is "bacterial SSU rRNA". It matches the Rfam family "Bacterial small subunit ribosomal RNA", at positions 8 to 857 of the family's 1533-position model. The record is from RNAcentral.